UACGUAGGGGUCUAGCGUUGUUCGGAAUAACUGGGCGUAAAGCGCAUGUAGGCGGAUUGUUAAGUCAGAGGUGAAAUCCCGGGGCUCAACCCCGGAACUGACUUUGAUACUGGCAAUCUCGAGUCCGAGAGAGGUGAGUGGAAUUCCUAGUGUAGAGGUGAAAUUCGUAGAUAUUCGGAGGAACACCAGUGGCGAAGGCGGCACACUGGCUCGGUACUGACGCUGAGGUGCGAAAGCGUGGGUAGCAAACAGG
This 253-nucleotide unclassified non-coding RNA is filed under the name uncultured Alphaproteobacteria bacterium. RNAcentral's name for it is "contains 16S-23S intergenic spacer region". It matches the Rfam family "Bacterial small subunit ribosomal RNA", at positions 524 to 776 of the family's 1533-position model. The record is from RNAcentral. Lineage: Bacteria; Pseudomonadati; Pseudomonadota; Alphaproteobacteria.